CAGAAAGCUUUGAACGGGAAAAUAGUCUGGAAACAGGGCUGCAGAGAGCCGGGGUUGGUGAAAGCCGGUGUCGCUGUCAGGCUAAUCUCACCCGGGAGCUGCCCCCGUGAAAGUGUUUUUCACUGGUAAUUGGGGCCGGGUUCAUGAAACCCGUUACCAAAAAUGCACCAUACAGUGGUUGUAUUUGUGUAUGAGUGGCUCCUUUGGGAGCAAACAGGGUGGUACCGCGGAAGGAUAACCUCUCGUCCCUGGC
Molecule: non-coding RNA, 253 nt
Filed under: Desulforamulus aeronauticus
Lineage: Bacteria; Bacillati; Bacillota; Clostridia; Eubacteriales; Peptococcaceae
Description: Desulfotomaculum aeronauticum T-box sequence
Rfam family: T-box leader
About the family: Uncharged tRNA acts as the effector for transcription antitermination of genes in the T-box leader family. T-boxes are found upstream of many aminoacyl-tRNA synthetase genes and some amino acid biosynthetic genes usually in Gram-positive bacteria.
Source: RNAcentral